Molecule: ribosomal RNA, 253 nt
Filed under: uncultured bacterium
Lineage: Bacteria
Description: partial 16S ribosomal RNA
Rfam family: Bacterial small subunit ribosomal RNA
Source: RNAcentral
UACAGAGGUCUCAAGCGUUGUUCGGAUUCAUUGGGCGUAAAGGGCUCGUAGGUGGCCAACUAAGUCAGACGUGAAAUCCCUCGGCUUAACCGGGGAACUGCGUCUGAUACUGGAUGGCUUGAGUUUGGGAGAGGGACGCGGAAUUCCAGGUGUAGCGGUGAAAUGCGUAGAGAUCGUAAGGAAGACCAGUGGCGAAGGCGGGUCUCUGGACAGUUCCUGACACUGAGGCACGAAGGCCAGGGGAGCAAACGGG